RNAcentral lists this small RNA (583 nucleotides) under Pongo abelii (Sumatran orangutan). RNAcentral describes it as "processed transcript". Lineage: Eukaryota; Metazoa; Chordata; Mammalia; Primates; Hominidae. The record is from RNAcentral.
AGAAAGACCAGAAAGAUCCAGGGAUCUGCUCUGUGCAGUGAAGCUUCUCUUCUUGGCACCUGCCUGGCAUCGGAAGAGGGCCCCUUCUCCCUCCCUGGGCUAUGUGGACACUCAUUCUGUGUCUGGCUGACGCUGUCGAGAGCUGAAACCCAGGACUCCAGGGGCUGUGCCCGGUGGUGCCCUCAGAACUCCUCGUGUGUCAAUGCCACCGCCUGUCGCUGCAAUCCAGGGUUCAGCUCUUUUUCUGAGAUCAUCACCACCCCCACGGAGACUUGUGACGACAUCAACGAGUGUGCAACACCGUCGAAAGUGUCAUGCGGAAAAUUCUCGGACUGCUGGAACACAGAGGGGAGCUACUACUGCAUGUGCAGCCCGGGAUAUGAGCUUGUUUCUGGGGCAAAAACAUUCACGAAUGAGAGCGAGAACACGUGUCAAGAUGUGGACGAGUGCAGCUCCGGGCAGCAUCAGUGUGACAGCUCCACCGUCUGCUUCAACACCGUGGGUUCGUACAGCUGCCGCUGCCGCCCAGGCUGGAAGCCCAAACAUGGAAUCCCGAAUAACCAAAAGGACACUGUCUGUGAUG